AUACGUAGGGUGCGAGCGUUGUCCGGAAUUACUGGGCGUAAAGAGCUCGUAGGUGGUUUGUCGCGUCGUCCGUGAAAUUCCGGGGCUUAACUCCGGGCGUGCAGGCGAUACGGGCAUAACUUGAGUACUGUAGGGGAGACUGGAAUUCCUGGUGUAGCGGUGAAAUGCGCAGAUAUCAGGAGGAACACCGGUGGCGAAGGCGGGUCUCUGGGCAGUAACUGACGCUGAGGAGCGAAAGCAUGGGUAGCGAACAGGAUUAGAUACCCUGGUAGUCCAUGCCGUAAACGGUGGGCGCUAGGUGUAGGGGUCUUCCACGACUUCUGUGCCGUAGCUAACGCAUUAAGCGCCCCGCCUGGGGAGUACGGCCGCAAGGCUAAAACUCAAAUGAAUUGGCGGGG
This 398-nucleotide ribosomal RNA is filed under the name uncultured bacterium. RNAcentral's name for it is "partial 16S ribosomal RNA". It matches the Rfam family "Bacterial small subunit ribosomal RNA", at positions 523 to 918 of the family's 1533-position model. The record is from RNAcentral.